CUCUGAUUAUCAUAAAACCCAGCCGGCCUCAAAUUAAGGCACGAGGGGCUCCCGGUCCCUCUUUCACUGCAGACUGACGAGCAGCUCACAGGUCUCCGGAAAAUGACGGCAUCGUCAGACCUAAAGUUCGUGUUAAGUCACAAUGAAGACAAAAAGCCACCGGACAGAAUGAAGAGCAACAGUCAGCCUGCAGAUGGAAACAAGGGUGGGUGGUUGGAAGGCUGAAUAAAGGCUGGUAGAUGACUGAACUCAGAGACCCGGCACAGCUCAUCAUCAUUGCCAUGGGCUCUCAUCUUCUGCCUCUUCCUCCUGUGGCUCGUACCUCCAUCCAGGGGUCCAGCAGAGCCAGCGAAGCCCAGGCGGGGAGCUAAUUGAUGGCGUUGUGGAAAAAAUCCCUGAUUGGCUGCGUUUGACUCAAAAACUGGAACAACUGAAGCAUUUUGUGUGGAUUUUCUGCUGUGCAUUUAAACCUCUGCUACAAAGACUUUGUUAUGUAGAGGUUUACAAUCCAACAUUCAACAACGGUGUCACUGAAUUGUAAUAUUAGAUAUUAAUAUAUAUAUUUCCACCAGUUGUGCCUUGAGAUGUGUCAAUAAAUAUAUUAAAAUAUGUCAC
This is a long non-coding RNA of Amphiprion ocellaris (clown anemonefish), 615 nucleotides long. The record is from Ensembl. Lineage: Eukaryota; Metazoa; Chordata; Actinopteri; Pomacentridae.